GAUGAACGCUGACAGAAUGCUUAACACAUGCAAGUCGAUGGGGAAGUGGUGCUUGCACCAUGGUAACCAUGGCGGACGGGUGAGUAACGCGUAAGGAACUUGCCUGCCGGACUGGGAUAACAGCAGGAAACUGCUGAUAAUACCGAAUAAGGUCAUUAAGCUGCAUAGCUUAGUGAUGAAAGGAGACGCCUGCGGAGAGCCUUGCGUCCUAUUAGCUAGUUGGAGGGGCAACGGCCCACCAAGGCGAAGAUAGGUAGCCGGCCUGAGAGGGUGGACGGCCACAAGGGGACUGAGAGACGGCCGUUACUCCUACGGGAGGCAGCAGGGGGGAAUAUUGGACAAUGGGGGCAACCCUGAUCAAGCAAUUCUGUGUGCACGAAGACGGUUUUCGGAUUGUAAAGUGCUUUCAGCAGGGAAGAAGGAAGUGACGGUACCUGCAGAAGAAGCGACGGCUAAAUACGUG
RNAcentral lists this ribosomal RNA (463 nucleotides) under uncultured bacterium. Its description in RNAcentral is "partial 16S ribosomal RNA". It matches the Rfam family "Bacterial small subunit ribosomal RNA", at positions 28 to 507 of the family's 1533-position model. The record is from RNAcentral.